GCAUAUCAAUAAGCGGAGGAAAAGAAACCAACAGGGAUUGCCCUAGUAACGGCGAAGUGAAGCGGCAACAGCUCAAAUUUGAAAUCUGGCUCUCUUUGGGGGUCCGAGUUGUAAUUUGCAGAGGAUGCUUUGGCAUUGGCGGCGGUCUAAGUUCCUUGGAACAGGACAUCACAGAGGGUGAGAAUCCCGUACGUGGUCGCCUGCCUUUGCCGUGUAAAGCUCCUUCGACGAGUCGAGUUGUUUGGGAAUGCAGCUCUAAAUGGGAGGUAAAUUUCUUCUAAAGCUAAAUACUGGCCAGAGACCGAUAGCGCACAAGUAGAGUGAUCGAAAGAUGAAAAGUACUUUGGAAAGAGAGUCAAAAAGCACGUGAAAUUGUUGAAAGGGAAGCGCUUGCAGCCAGACUUGCCCGCAGUUGCUCACCUAGGCUUUGGCCUGGGGCACUCUUCUGCGGGCAGGCCAGCAUCAGUUUGGGCGGUUGGAUAAAGGCCUCUGUCACGUAUCUCCCUUCGGGGUGACCUUAUAGGGGAGGCGCAAUGCAACCAGCCCGGACUGAGGUCCGCGCAUCUGCUAGGAUGCUGGCGUAAUGGCUGUAAGCGGCCCGUCUUGAAACACGGACCAAGGAGUCUAACAUCUAUGCGAGUGUUUGGGUGUCAAGCCCGAGCGCGCAAUGAAAGUGAACGGAGGUGGGAACCCUUUGGGUGCACCAUCGACCGAUCCUGAUGUCUUCGGAUGGAUUUGAGUAAGAGCAUAGCUGUUGGGACCCGAAAGAUGGUGAACUAUGCUUGAAUAGGGUGAAGCCAGAGGAAACUCUGGUGGAGGCUCGCAGCGGUUCUGACGUGCAAAUCGAUCGUCAAAUUUGGGCAUAGGGGCGAAAGACUAAUCGAACCCAUCUAGUAGCUGGUUCCUGCCGA
RNAcentral lists this ribosomal RNA (911 nucleotides) under Paraphaeosphaeria sporulosa. RNAcentral's name for it is "LSU rRNA". It matches the Rfam family "Eukaryotic large subunit ribosomal RNA", at positions 38 to 964 of the family's 3401-position model. Lineage: Eukaryota; Fungi; Ascomycota; Dothideomycetes; Pleosporales; Didymosphaeriaceae. The record is from RNAcentral.